RNAcentral lists this long non-coding RNA (1078 nucleotides) under Cyanistes caeruleus (blue tit). Its description in RNAcentral is "lncRNA (ENSCCEG00000004501.1)". The record is from RNAcentral. Lineage: Eukaryota; Metazoa; Chordata; Aves; Passeriformes; Paridae.
GGUUCUUCAGUCCCACUGAGGAUGUGAUGUGGAAGCUGCUGAAACAAUUCUCCCUCUUUGAGAGGAUAAAGUGCAAUGGGAAUAGGACUGCUCAGUGGAGAAUUCCAUGUGGCAGAAGGAUGGGCAGCAUGGAGAUUUCUGAGGUGGUUUGGAUGUCACUUCCAUCAAGUAGAAGGAAUGUUUUGCUAAAACUGUUUAUCAAAACUGAAACCUCAUGGAUUAUUUUGUUGAAAAAGUCAAAAAACAACCACUGUUUUUUUUCCCUAGGGCAGGGAUUUUGUGUUAGAGAAGAAAAUGAGAAAACAACCAGGCCCCAAAAGAGGGGAAAAGGGAAAACCUGAGAUUAGAGCAGAGAGAAGGCAUGGAAAUAUGUAAGAGAAAUUUGUUGAAGACCUAAUUGUAUCCAAAAUCCACGAUUGCUUUGAAAUCCAAGGAACUACUGUAACAUUAUUUGUUCAGAGGGGCUCUACAGUCAGAAAAUUCCCAUCACUUGUAUCCCACUUUCAGAAUUACAGUCUAUUCCAUUCUGAAAUCCCAAAAGACAGGUAAAACACCUGGAUUUAUGACACUUGGGAAUAUUGGAAUUGCACACAAGUAUCUGGGUUUUCCCAGGAAUGUUGUCCUGGGAUAUUUGAGUAACACAAGCUCUGGCAGAGGUGCUGGGGGUGUGAUGUGGGCACAGGAGCACUGUGAGUUCAUGAUGUCACCGCUCUUCCUGGACAUCCCUUGGCACUUUGGAGCUGGGUAAAUCCAGCCAGGAACCUGCCAGUGCCUUCAGCAGGGCUGGAAUUCCAUCCCAGAGUGUCAGGGGCUGGUGACAUGGAGUGAUGUCAGGUCACUGAUGUGGAACUGGAAAGAUUCCUUGUCACAUCACUGAUCCCAUCAGGUUGCCAAAUUUCACUUGGGAUUUUUUACCAAGUUUCCAUUGCAAAUGUAUGAUAACAUGUUUAGUCAUUAUCCUUAAAAAAAAGUAAAGAAAUAAUUUCUUUAAGAGAUGGGUGAUCUGUAGAAGACAUUUGUGUAAUUUUGCAUUCUAAAUGUGAUUUAUAUUUAUAAAUAAAUUUGCAUAAAAACUCCA